GAUGAACGCUGGCGGCGUGCCUAAUACAUGCAAGUCGAGCGAACAGACGAGGAGCUUGCUCCUCUGACGUUAGCGGCGGACGGGUGAGUAACACGUGGAUAACCUACCUAUAAGACUGGGAUAACUUCGGGAAACCGGAGCUAAUACCGGAUAAUAUAUUGAACCGCAUGGUUCAAUAGUGAAAGACGGUUUUGCUGUCACUUAUAGAUGGAUCCGCGCCGCAUUAGCUAGUUGGUAAGGUAACGGCUUACCAAGGCGACGAUGCGUAGCCGACCUGAGAGGGUGAUCGGCCACAAGGGAACUGAGGCACGGUCCAGACUCCUACGGGAGGCAGCAGUAGGGAAUCUUCCGCAAUGGGCGAAAGCCUGACGGAGCAACGCCGCGUGAGUGAUGAAGGUCUUCGGAUCGUAAAACUCUGUUAUUAGGGAAGAACAAAUGUGUAAGUAACUAUGCACGUCUUGACGGUACCUAAUCAGAAAGCCACGGCUAACUACGUG
This 497-nucleotide ribosomal RNA is filed under the name uncultured bacterium. RNAcentral describes it as "partial 16S ribosomal RNA". It matches the Rfam family "Bacterial small subunit ribosomal RNA", at positions 28 to 507 of the family's 1533-position model. The record is from RNAcentral.